Molecule: ribosomal RNA, 253 nt
Filed under: uncultured bacterium
Lineage: Bacteria
Description: partial 16S ribosomal RNA
Rfam family: Bacterial small subunit ribosomal RNA
Source: RNAcentral
UACGUAGGGUGCAAGCGUUGUCCGGAUUUAUUGGGCGUAAAGAGCGUGUAGGCGGCCACACAGGUCUGCUGUGAAAACUCGAGGCUCAACCUCGAGCUGUCGGUGGAAACCGUGUGGCUAGAGUCCGGAAGAGGAGAGUGGAAUUCCCGGUGUAGCGGUGAAAUGCGCAGAUAUCGGGAAGAACACCCGUGGCGAAGGCGGCUCUCUGGGACGGUACUGACGCUGAGACGCGAAAGCGUGGGGAGCGAACAGG